This 848-nucleotide ribosomal RNA is filed under the name uncultured archaeon. RNAcentral describes it as "bacterial SSU rRNA". It matches the Rfam family "Archaeal small subunit ribosomal RNA", at positions 29 to 882 of the family's 1478-position model. The record is from RNAcentral.
GCUAUUGGAGUUCGAUUAAGCCAUGCGAGUCGAGAGUCUUAGGGACUCGGCGUACCGCUCAGUAACACGUGGGUAACCUGCCCUAUGCUGGGGAAUAACCUCGGGAAACUGAGAAUAAUGCCCCAUAGUCCACAAUGCCUGGAACGGUUUGUGGAUCAAAGCUCCGGCGGCAUAGGAUGGGCCUGCGGCGUAUCAGGUUGUAGGGGGUGUAACGUACCCUCUAGCCAUCAACGCGUACGGGUGUUGGGAGACAUAGCCCGGAGAUGGAUUCUGAGACACGAAUCCAGACCCUACGGGGUGCAGCAGGCGCGAAAACUUGGCAAUGCGAGAAAUCGUGACCAGGGAACUCCAAGUGGCUGGGGUAAGACCCAGUCUUUUCUUGACUCUUCAAAGGUCUUGGAAUAAGGGGUGGGUAAGGACGGUGCCAGCCGCCGCGGUAAUACCGGCGCCUCAAGUGGUAGUCGAUUUUAUUGGGCCUAAAACGUCCGUAGCCUGUUUGGUACAUUCGUGGGUAAAUCAACCAGCUCAACUGGUUGAAUUCUGCGAGCACGGCCAGACUUGGGACCGGGAGAGGUGUAGGGUACGCUCAGGGUAGGGGUAAAAUCCUGUCAUCCUGAGCGGACCACCUGUUGCGAAGGCGCCACACUAGAACGGAUCCGACGGUCAGGGACGAAGCCUAGGGGCACGAACCGGAUUAGAUACCCGGGUAGUCCUAGGUGUAAACGCUGUGGACUCGGUGUUGGGGACUCUCCGAGAAUCCUCAGUGCCGAAGCGAAGGUGAUAAGUCCACUGCCUGGGGAGUACGGUCGCAAGGCUGAAACUUAAAGGAAUUGGCGGGGGAGCACCGC